UCCUCGAUAGCUCAGUUGGUAGAGCGGGUGACUGUUAAUCACUAGGUCGCAGGUUCGAGUCCUGCUCGAGGAGCCA
This 76-nucleotide transfer RNA is filed under the name Planctomycetota bacterium. Its description in RNAcentral is "Planctomycetes bacterium (activated sludge metagenome) tRNA-Asn". It matches the Rfam family "tRNA". From Rfam's summary of the family: Transfer RNA (tRNA) molecules are approximately 80 nucleotides in length. Their secondary structure includes four short double-helical elements and three loops (D, anti-codon, and T loops). Further hydrogen bonds mediate the characteristic L-shaped molecular structure. tRNAs have two regions of fundamental functional importance: the anti-codon, which is responsible for specific mRNA codon recognition, and the 3' end, to which the tRNAs corresponding amino acid is attached (by aminoacyl-tRNA synthetases). tRNAs cope with the degeneracy of the genetic code in two manners: having more than one tRNA (with a specific anti-codon) for a particular amino acid; and 'wobble' base-pairing, i.e. permitting non-standard base-pairing at the 3rd anti-codon position. Lineage: Bacteria; Pseudomonadati; Planctomycetota. The record is from RNAcentral.